CCCAAAGAAACCUUUUGAUGUCAGUUCUUUUUUGCUCUGAGAAGAAUUUGAAACCUCUUGCCUCUUCUUUAGAGAGGAUUAUUAAUGGUCCUAUAAACUGAAGUUUAAAUUUGGAAACAUUUCUAAUCAGAGGAACGAGCACUGGGCCUGGAGUCAGAAGGCCUGGGUUCUGGUCCUGGAUGUUCAAUGGAGAAACCACUAAGACCUGCUUUGGCAUCAGUGGAAUCUUAGGCCAGCAUUGUUCACCAGCUUUGACACUUGCCAUCUGGAGGGAAAUGACAGUGUGCCUAUUGCAAAAUCAAUCUGAAGAAGCAACAGUUAAUGCCAUGGUCACUAUGAAAUGCCAUAAACAUUCCUUAAUUUCUCCAAGAACAUCAUCAGGUAAGUGGACUUUCUAUUUCCUAGGCUUGGCUUCCACCCAUUUCCCAGAACUGGUAGGGCUGGGAAUCUGGAGAAGUCCAUUACAAGUUGGAACUCACAUGGGUGCGCCAAAGAUUUUUUUUCCUGGCUACACUUGA
This 518-nucleotide long non-coding RNA is filed under the name Canis lupus familiaris (dog). Its description in RNAcentral is "lncRNA (ENSCAFG00000054257.1)". Lineage: Eukaryota; Metazoa; Chordata; Mammalia; Carnivora; Canidae. The record is from RNAcentral.